Molecule: ribosomal RNA, 289 nt
Filed under: Paregle audacula
Lineage: Eukaryota; Metazoa; Arthropoda; Insecta; Diptera; Anthomyiidae
Description: partial 16S ribosomal RNA
Source: RNAcentral
UCUGGUAUGAAAGGUUUGACGAGAUAUUAACUGUUUCAUAAAAAUUUAUAUUAGAAUUUUAUUUUUUAGUCAAAAAGCUAAAAUAUAUUUAAAAGACGAGAAGACCCUAUAAAUCUUUAUAUUUAGAUUAUUAUAAUUGUAUAGAUUAUUUUUGUUAUAAUAAUUAAUAAUAUUUUAUUGGGGUGAUAUUAAAAUUUAAUAAACUUUUAAUUGUUUAAAUCAUUAAUUUAUGAAUAAUUGAUCCGUUAAUAACGAUUAAAAAAACAAGUUACCUUAGGGAUAACAGCGA